AAUGUACUCCCUUCGUCCGAAAAUACUUGUCAUCAAAAUGAAUAAAAGGGGAUGUAUCUAGACGUAUUUUAGUUCUAGAUACAUCUCCUUUUGUCUAUUUUGAUGACAAGUAUUUUUAGACGGAGGGAUA
This is a non-coding RNA of Triticum aestivum (bread wheat), 130 nucleotides long. The record is from Rfam. NCBI's taxonomy places the organism in Eukaryota, Viridiplantae, Streptophyta, Magnoliopsida, Poales, Poaceae.